UUUUUUUUUUUUUUUUUUUUAGUAGGAUCUGAACAAGAGUUGGACACUUGGGAUGCCUGGGUGGCUUAGCAUUGAGCAUCUGCCUUUGGCUCAGGCCGUGAUCCUGGAGUCCCGGGAUCGAGUCCCACAUCGGGCUCCCUGCAUGGAGCCUGCUUCUCCCUCUGCCUGUAUCUCUGCCUCUCUCUCUCUGUGUCUCUCAUGAAUACAUCAAAUCUUAAAAAAAAAAAAAAAGACUUGGAUGCUUAACAAAUUGAGCCACCCAGGUGCCCCAUGUGCAUUCUUUUCGUACAGGAUUAUUUGUAGUAAAUUGUACACCAUUUUCCACCUGGAGUGUUUGUCCAUCUCAAACACUGUGUGUCUAUCAACACAUCUUUUUGUUUGCUUUAAGGAGGGCACAGUUAAAGAUUUUUUCAGGGAUACUUGUGAUCACUCUAUAGACCAUUUGAAUUGUGACUAUGACACAUGUCAUAGGGAAAACUCAGAUGAGCAGUGCCCUGUAUGGAAUUCAGCCUUCCUGAGACUUAAUUGUGCAUGGGUAACCUGCUGCAUGUCGCACACUGCACGUAUGCAACUCAAUGCUGAUGAUCAGGGUAACCACAGAACCCCUCAACAUAGAAUAACACAGAUCACAUGCUACCCCGGGGCCUUAGCCAAGCAUGUAUCGCUUUGUUCUGUAAACUGGAGAACUGGCCUCUAAAAGCCCCAAACUGUAUAUUUGUGAGAACAGAGCUGCGAAUGUUUUCAUUUUGCGACAAUCAUCCAGUUUAUUAUCUUGGAAUAUGUACAACAGAAAUAAAACAAAACAAGAUACAAAUCCUACAGACUGUGGAAGUGGAAGUAGGGGUAGAGGAUGAUGUGGGGAUGGAGAACAAAGACACUGAUGCUGCAUGGUUUUUAUUUUUUAUAUUUGAGUUAUUAUUCCUUAGAAAAAGAUGCAGUCAGUUUGAGAAAAUAUUGGAGUCAUUAAAAUACGGCAAAUCAAGGUCUUGAGGACUUCUAACUUCAAAUAUCCUUUGGUGUCAACUAAUGGUUCCUGAAAACAACAAUCCCACAGAGUAUGUAGAUUUACAUACUUCUCUAUAAAAUACUUAAAAAUUAAAAGUAGGUGCUACCUCCAAGCAGCAUUCUUUGACGCUGCUCUUCCACAGAGGCUUAGGUUUUAUUUUAAACAAGAGGUCUGAUUUCACCUUGGAAACCUGUGGAGAGCAACCCAGGGCAAAGCUGAGUGGAGUCUGGAACAGUUCCCAUGGGGGUUGGAAGGCAGAGACAUCAGGCCCCAAACAUGCUCUUCUAUUGAGAGAUUCUGUUCUUGAAAGCCUUGCCCUAUGAAAUAUGGGGAAUCUGAACCACUCAUGUGAGUCCAGAAAAAACAACAACAACAACUGAUCUCUGUUGUAGAGAGAGCACAUGGAUCAAGCCCCAUCUGUCCUUUAAACUAUAGUAUUAAUGAGAUUUUUUUUCCUCAGAAAGGAGAAUGGGAAGUGAGCAGAGGGUACUGGCAAGUUGUGGCUGGCAGAGUAAGGGGAGUGAUGGUGGUGGCACUGGGAUGGGAAGUUACUGCUAUGGUGGAGGUGAUAAGGACAGGGGGGCAGUGAUAAAAAUGGAAGGUGGUGGCAGUGGUGAUGGUGGAGGUGGGGGCAGUAGUAGCAUUGGUGGAAAGAAGAUACGGACUAACAACACUGUGCUCAGAGAUGGGACAAUGAGGGUUUAAACAACACCCCAAUUGUUCCAUUCAUUCAUUCCCUGACAUACCUCCUCCUUCACCAUAUAUAUUUAGGCUUCUUGCAAUGUUGCAGUUUAAUAACCAAAUUGCGUAAUUUGUAGAGUUUCUAUUUUCCCCACUCUAGUCAACUGAAAUCUGAAUACAAAAUGCCAUUUUGUUGUGGUGGUUGUUGCUCAGGGAGGAGAGGUGAGGAAUGUCCUCCCAGCUUCUUCUGUGCCACAGAAUUCACGAUAGGCCUCAGAACAUUAGUUUGUUUCCCUUCCCGUUGGCUCUGCCUUAGAAAAAAUCUCGGGAAAAAAUGCUCCCAAAGGAGAAACCCAGGGAUGAGAAAGACAUAGCAGGUGGGGGCAAUCAUAUUGCUGGGAAAAUAUUAUCUAUUCUAUUUUUAACAUGAUGCCCUUUCUGUUGUGCCUCUGUGUUAUCAGAAAGGUCUUCUGGGGAAAACCUCUGGGCUGGUUUCAUUGACAGGAAAGAUAAGAUCAAUUGUGUGAAUAAACUGCUAUGGCAAACUUAAAGAAAGCUAGCAAAAGAGGCUCAGAGGGAAACUCAAGGUGAGGACCCUUCUCUGUGUCACAUCAUUAUCCAUGUUUUUUGCAUGCAGAGUUCCAAAGUGGGUAUCAGCAGGGAAUAAAGAAAAUAACAUCAAUGCAGCAACAUAAAACUAACGUCUAUUUGCACACACACCAAGGGAAUGUUGGAUAAAGAAAAGUUGGAAAUACUGAUAUUGCUGGAAAAUAUGACUCUCAACUCAGUACAUAGGGUUGAAAAAGGCUUGGAUUACCCCAGACUUGAGCAAGCAGCAUUGAAAUACCUCACAUCACCAUCUAAAUCAGUGGAUUGCAAAGGUUGAUUCAAGGACUACUCUUUCAAAAUGCUGAUUCUUGGGCACCAUCCUCAGGAUUUCUGAUUCAACACUGCCAAACUGGGAACUCCUUGUUUUACUUGUAAUCUCCUCCAGGAGGUUCUUGUUCAGCCCACCGAGACUUGUCUGUGUACCAGAAUUCAGAAAGAGCUGAUGUAGAGGUUUUGUCCACAAUGAUAAAUUUAUCUGUCAUCAGUAACUGUUACUCUAGAUAGAAAUCACUCUUCAUAUUUAUGAUAAUCAAGUAACCCAAAAGCAAAGAUUGAGAGGAACUAAAACAGGUGGAAAAUAUUUAAAUCUGGAUAACAGGAGAAACAAGGGCAUGUGAUUUACCAAAAUAUGGGAGGAUGAGAUGGAGCUGGAUUUGAGAAGAUGUGCCCAAGGUCAAUGAGUCUGAACUGACAAAAUCUCAUCCAGCUAGAAAUAUCUACUGAUCAUUCAGAAAUAAGAGAGUCACAUUCCAAAAGAAGGUGGAGCUGGGGGUAAAACUGAGCAUUUGUGUCUAAGUCUUUGGAACCCCAGGGUAAAAUCAGAGAGCAUGAAUUCAGAGACUUCAGGGUGGGGGGUGGAGGUGGGAAAUAAUAGCUUGUCUGGAAACAGCGUGAGUAAAACACACAGACCAGAGCAUGCACAUCACCUGGGAACUUGUUAGAUAGGCUAAUUCUCAGGCUCCACUUGCCUUUGAUCUAUUGAGUAAACUCUGGGUGAGGGGCCCAGCAAUCAACGUUUUAACAAACCUGAUGCACCUAAAGCUUGAAAAAUCACAUGCUGAAGGAAUCGCCCUCAGCUGAGAUGUGACUGCCUUCAACUGAACUGACCAUUUAUGUCUUUCUGCAGAGCAGUGCAACUUCUUCAUAGGCAGCUUCUCAGCUGCUUUAAUUGCAGAAAUUUUAAAUUCACAUAAUUAACUGACCCAUUCACGUGAUGGUCACACGAAAAGGGACACUUUGCACCAAAAUCUUUUUUAAGUCUCCACAUAUUGCUAAACAAAGAGCUGCUUGCUGUGUUGGAAAGACAGUUUUCCUAGCAUCUGCUACUUUUAUCACAGUUUCAAAAAUAUUAGAGUCAAAUUUUAGCAUCCUAAUAGCCUGCAGCAGAGGCCUGAGCAUUAUCUAUCAAAGGGUGGGGGGAGAGACAACAAAAAGAAACAGAAGAUAUUAAAUGGAGAAAAUUGAUAAUGAUAGCAGUCAAAAGUGUGUUUUAUUUUUCAAACUCAAGGAUGGCCAUAGUUCCUAUUGACAUCUCAGACUCAAUAGUAAUAAACUCAAACUUUCAAGAGCCAAUCUACAUGAUACGAUUUCAACAUCAUUUUUGAUCAAAUUAUUCAAAUUAUUAAUACUAUUGAAUAUUUACCUGUCUUAAGCAUGGUAAUAGGUGUAAAGAAAUACAUGAGAAGAAUAUAAAACAUAGCUUCUAUUUUCAAACACCUCGGCGAGUUUGCUCAAUUAUUUAUCAUUUAUAACAAUAAUGCAUUAGUUUGAAAAACAGUCUUUUACACAUUUUAAGUCACUGUGGAGCCUAUUGGUGAUAUAUAUAAAACAAAUAAAUAAGCACAUAAAUAAGAUAAUUUUAUGUGAUCUGAUGAUAAAAGAAGAGCAUGGAGGAGAGAGACCAGGAGUAGGGAGUGGGACACAGUUUAGAAUGGCACUCAGGUAAGGAACAGAUAUUUGAAUUGGGGGAUAUAAGCUUUUCAAGCAGGGGAAACUGAGGUGCAAUAGUUUUAUUUAGGGGACAAGUGUAUUUUAUAUUAGGACUGGAAGGAAGGGUAGUAGGGCUGGAGCUUUAUGGCAAGGUGAUGUGCCAGGAGGUCACAAAAUUUUGCAUAAACCAGGUCAUAUGGGCCCUUGUAAGCCAUGGGAAAGGAUUUAAUUUUUUAUAGCAAGUGCUAUUGGAAUCUCUAUGGAGCAUUAAAGCAAAAAGCAUUACAUAUAGAGAGAUCACUUUAUGUUAGCAAAAGUUUUCUUAUAUCUAUGCCUGGGAUCAAUGUAAAUUAGUACAAUCACUUUGAUAAACACAUAGACAGUAUCUGGUAAAACUGAAUAUUUCAUAGAGAAGACCCAGCAAUUCUACUCUUAAGUAUGUUUCUCCUAGAAAUGCAUGCUAAUGUGUACCAGGAUAGAUACCCAGGAAUGUUUAUAGGGACAUUGUUCAUAGUUGUCCAAAAUAGAAACAAUCCUAAUAUCUAUUAAGAAUAGAAGAGAUACUUAUAAAAUAAAUCAGUCAUGAGGAUGAAAGGUACAACUUAGGGAAUAUGGUAAUAAAACAUUGUGAUCAUGCUGUUUGGUGACAGAGGGUAACAAAUCGUGGUGAGCACAGCGUAAUGUAUAGACAGAAUUGUCCAAUUACUAUGCAAUAUACCUGAAAAUAAUAUAACAUUGUAUGUCAACUAUACUUCAAUAAAAAAUAAACAAAAGAUACAUGAAUCAAAUUAAAAAAUAAAAAUAGACAAAAAGCAGCAAAAACGUGUUCAAUGUUAUAAUGUUCUGUGAAAAGCCCUGAGUAGAAAACUAUGAUAACAUGUAGGUAAGAUUAUUCAGUUAUAUGGACAAACCUCUAAAGGGGAUUACAGACUAGUGAAAAUACCUAUUUAGUUAAGGUGAUGAAAUUCUGAUUCACAAUAUAGUUUUCUCCUAAUAUUGCUAUUAUUUGAUAAAUAAAUAAAAUCUUUAAAAAUAUAAAAUUAUCUUCUUUAACGGAGAGAGAGAGUAAGCAGCAUAAGCAGUGGGGAAGGGCAGAGGGAGAAGGGGAAGCAGACCCCCCCCGCCACUGAGCAGGGUACCCAACCUGGUGCUCGAUCCUGGGACCCUGAGACCAUGACAUGAGUUGAAGGCAGACGCUCAACCAACUGAGGGAACCAGGCACCCCCAAAGAAGACAAUUUUUUAAAAAUGAAAAGUGUGGAUAAAUUAUAGUAUAUUCAUACAAUGGAGUGCUAUCAUGUUAUUUAAAAUACAGCCUCUCUAGUCGAGAGGUGGGAUCAACGUAUCCUUUGGGAUCCAUGAUCCCUUUGAAUCUAGUUGGGCUGUGGCAAAUCUGACAUUUUGGUGGAAAUGCCACAUGUCUUCAGAGUCUAGGCCAUCAAAGGCUAUAUAUUUCUACCCAAAUCUGCUAGAACAAUCACUUCUCAAGUCCUGAGGUGCCACGUAAAGAAGUGUCUACCCUGACACUGCCAUGCUGUAAGGAAGCCCAAGCCAUAUGGAGAGGACACAGAGUCAUCUUGGCCCAGCUGUCAGACAUGUGAGUGAAGAAGCCUCCAGAUAAUUCCAGUCCCUAGACAUUAGAGUCUUUCCAGUUAGGCCGCAAUACUGCAUGACAGAGACAAGUCUCUAAGCUGUGCUUUAUUUGAAUUGCUGACCCCCAAAAUCUAUGAGCAGAAGAAAACAGUUGUUCAUUUUAUGCUACUUUUGAGUGCCAAUGGGAGUGGUUUGUUAUGCGAACUGGAACAAUAUCAACAAAACCAUAGAAACACAUGAACAAAUAGAUAAAUUUAUCAAAAUAAGCUAGACAAAAAUAAUAAUUUUAAUCCUUUUGUAUAAAAUUUAAAAAGAAGAAAAUUUAUAUUGUUUGAGGGUGCGUAUAAAACAAAUAAGGGAAAUGGUUACCAUAAAAUUCAGGAUAAAUACUACAUGUAAGGGGGAGAAAAAUGGUUUUGAUCAGGGACACCUUGAUUAGGGAUCCCUAACACUAAUGCUUCCUGGUAUAGAUAAUUUUCUUUCUUUUUUUUUUUUUAAAGAUUUUUAUUUAUUUAUUCUUGAGAGACAGAGAGAGAGAGAGAAGCAGAGAGAUAGGCAGAGGGAGAAGCAGGCUCCACACAGGGAGCCUGAUGUGGGACUUGAUCCUGGGACUCCAGGAUCACACCCUGGGCUGAAGGCAGGCACCAAACCUGCUGAGCCACACAGGCAUCCCCUGAGCCACACAAGCAUCCCAAUAAUUUUCUAUUUCUUAUUUAAAUUGGUAACCACAUGAGUGUUCACCUUAUAAUAAUUGGCUAAGCCCUAUGCUUAUGCUUUAAACACUUUUCUAUAUGUGAAUUAUGUUACAUAAUAAAAAAGUAUUUUUUAAAAAAGAUAAUUCUGGCUUCUGGUUGAAAGACGACUCCAGUAAGCAAGCAGGGAAUCAGGAAAAUAAGUUACAAUGCUGUUUUUCUGCUUCAUGAGAAUGACACUGGCGGCUGGGACUAGCUGUGCAGUUGGUGAGACCAGGUUGGUUUCAAUAUAUUUUGAAAUAAGAGCUAUCAUAGGAUUUCCUGCUGGAUUAGGUGGGGAUAGGAGAGUACAGAAAAGAGAAGAGUCAGGAAGGAUUAUAAAUGUUUUACUUGAGUAAUUGGUUGGAUCGUGACAGUAUUAACUGAGAUUAUUAUGCACUUCAGUAUCACCAACUAGCAUUUGAUUUUAUUGCAAUAUGCCUAGUUUUCCUGAUCUAUGCUUUUGGGAUUAGUGAAUAUGUAAAAUUAAAAAUCUGAUGACCACUUACUAAGAUUAUCCAGCAGUUAAUACCUUUAUGAUAAUUAAGAUUUAAGAACAAAUUCUUCUACUCAGAUUUUCACCCAUCAUUCCCAGUUAUUAUGAAAAGAAAGUAAUAUAACUAAAAUGAAAAAAAAAGAAAUUCUCUAUAACCUCUAGAGUAUAAUUCCACUUAUUCCUUUUUUUUUUUUUUGAGAAGGAAUUUAAAUGGUCCAGAAAGAAAAGAAUAGUUAGACCUGAGCUCGAAAAUUAUAAACUAAACUUUACCAUUAACUAGCUGGGUAGGUUUAAGGAAACUUCUGUGAUUUAGCUUCAUAACAUCAAAUAGACUUACUUUGGUCUUAAAUGUUUUUGUGAGAGUAAAACAGCUUUUAAGGUAGCUUGUAAUGUAAACAUCUUUCAGAAACAAGACUAUGUUAUACUCAGCUGCUACCAGAGUCUAAAUUAGAUUAGUGACCCUAGAGAGUAAGGAAGUUGUGAAGAUGUCUUUUUGCAUUACCUGACUUCCUGAGAUGGAUGGGUGAUUCUGUUUAUUUCCUAAAAAAGGAGUGGUGUGGUAUAGAGGUGCCCUGUAGAGAUUUGGAGAAGGAAAAUGAAAUUUUGGUGAAUAAUACAGGCAACAGGCUUACAGUGAUCCUCACUCAGACUGGUUUUGAACCCAAAUACAAAUUGGUGGUGCUGUUCAUCAUAUCUUUCCAGUUCUCCUUCCACUGGGGCACCUGGUAAAUCAGUACUUCCUGGACCUCACUCCUUUUUAAGUAAAGUCAUGUGACAGCUACAGCCAUGUUGUAAGUGAAAGUGAUAUGUGUCACUCUCAGGUCAAGUAAUAACUGUCCAUUAAAAAGAACUGUCCAUCUCAGUAGAAUUUGAGAUGGGGAGUGAUUAUACCACCUGAGAUAUCUUUCAGAAGAAAAAGAAUAUAUAUGUAUAUAGAGAUAUAUACACACACAUAUUGGUGCUAAAUCACUGCAACUUAAGAAUAGCAUAACUUAAGCAGUAUUGAAUGGCUAAGAUUGUUCCGAUGGAAGUAUCCUUUGCACAUAAUGUUAUGUUGAUUUUGGAUGUAGAGCAUAGUGAUGAGAGAAGGGCUAGAGUGAGGACUAAAGGAGUUUGCUCGCUCACAUUAGAUUUUCUCCAUCAGGGGGUGUGUAAUCAGGAAUAAUCCUGUUAAUGGGAGGAGGUGCCCAGACCUCAUUCCCAUUGGCCCACAGUGCAGAAUACUGUGUUGGUACCCCUUAGCACCAGAGUGGUACCCAAAAACACUUCUAUG
This 8317-nucleotide long non-coding RNA is filed under the name Canis lupus familiaris (dog). RNAcentral's name for it is "lncRNA (ENSCAFG00000058503.1)". The record is from RNAcentral. Lineage: Eukaryota; Metazoa; Chordata; Mammalia; Carnivora; Canidae.